UGGGGAAUCUUGCACAAUGGGCGAAAGCCUGAUGCAGCGACGCCGCGUGCGGGAUGAAGGCCUUCGGGUUGUAAACCGCUUUCAGCAGGGACGAGGCGAAAGUGACGGUACCUGCAGAAGAAGCCCCGGCUAACUACGUGCCAGCAGCCGCGGUAAUACGUAGGGGGCAAGCGUUAUCCGGAUUCAUUGGGCGUAAAGCGCUCGUAGGCGGUCUGUUAGGUCGGGAGUUAAAUCCGGGGGCUCAACCCCCGUUCGCUCCCGAUACUGGCAGACUUGAGUUUGGUAGGGGAAGGUGGAAUUCCUAGUGUAGCGGUGGAAUGCGCAGAUAUUAGGAAGAACACCAGUGGCGAAGGCGGCCUUCUGGGCCAUAACUGACGCUGAGGAGCGAAAGCUAGGGGAGCAAACAGGAUUAGAUACCCUGGUAGUCCUAGCCGUAAACGAUGGACACUAGGUGUGGGGGAAUAUUUCUUCCGUGCCGCAGCUAACGCAUUAAGUGUCCCGCCUGGGGAGUACGGCCGCAAGGCUA
Molecule: ribosomal RNA, 526 nt
Filed under: uncultured bacterium
Lineage: Bacteria
Description: bacterial SSU rRNA
Rfam family: Bacterial small subunit ribosomal RNA
Source: RNAcentral